AAGAAAAGUCCAUGGUCCAGUUCUUUAUACAAAUGCGGGAUUCGUCUGCAAUUAUAGAAAUGAAGUAAAGGUGACCAAGAAGUUAGUAAAGUGCACAGCAGAGUUCUACUUCUUCAUUUGAGUCAGUUAACCUGUGUCUUCCUCCACCUCUCUCAAGAUUCAGUGAUCAGAGGCCUCCACAGGGUGGAGAAGCCUUGAAUGGCGCCCGCGAUUGGAGAAUCUACUUGAUGCCAGAUUCAAGGCAAAGAAUUGUCAGAAGAUAACUGAUGUGUUGAAGAGGCAUCUUCCCUUCUCUGGCCAAGGGGGGUUACUUGAACGGCAGAGAAUUGCUACAAGGUUCGAGGAUAAGUUGUAUGCUACUGCAUCAAGCCAGUCGGAUUAUCUACAAAAAAUUUCUCUGAAGUUGCUUGCCAUUGAGACCGCGGGAGUUGCAACAAGUCCCCCCUCCAACCUGAAACGGCAUCGUGCCCUUGCUUUUGAAAGAGACUAAUGCUAGUUCUGUAACUUGUCCUAUUUGAAGUUGAUAAUAUUUACUGUUCUUGUGAAAUAAGAAGAAAACUCGGAGCUUCUGAAACUGGAGUGAUUAUUGUAUAAUAGCACAAAACAAUUCCGUAGCGGUUUGUAAUAUCUCUGAAUAUUGAAGUACUUUAGAGCUACAUGCAAACACGUACUUGUAUCCUUAUAGAUAUAAACUCCGAUUGUUCAUAUUA
Long non-coding RNA from Rosa chinensis, 710 nucleotides. RefSeq lists it as uncharacterized. The record is from RefSeq and is a predicted model, not a curated record. The transcript is spliced from 4 exons. NCBI's taxonomy places the organism in Eukaryota, Viridiplantae, Streptophyta, Magnoliopsida, Rosales, Rosaceae.